GGCUGUGACGAUCGAUGCUUAUAUUCUGACACCUCUUGUAUGAGAACAGUCUCGAAAGAUGCUGUUCGUUGAGCACAUUAAGCAACUCUCUGAGCC
Molecule: small nucleolar RNA, 96 nt
Organism: Lactuca sativa (garden lettuce)
Lineage: Eukaryota; Viridiplantae; Streptophyta; Magnoliopsida; Asterales; Asteraceae
Product: small nucleolar RNA snoR1
Source: RefSeq, a predicted model, not a curated record